CGAUGGUACGCGAGGAACCUUACCUGGGUUUGACAUACGGAGGGAAGUGGCAGCGAUGCCACUGUGUCGCGGGACGACUCCGUACAGGUGCUGCAUGGCUGUCGUCAGCUCGUGCCGUGAGGUGUUGGGUUAAGUCCCGGCAACGAGCGCAACCCCUACUGCCAGUUACUAACAGGUGAAGCUGAGGACUCUGGCGGAACUGCCGGUGACAAACCGGAGGAAGGUGGGAUGACGUCAAGUCAUCAUGGCCCUUAUGUCCAGGGCUACACACGUGCUACAAUGGGCGAGACAGAGCGACGCGAAGCCGCGAGGUGGAGCAAAUCGCAGAAAAUCGUCCUCAGUUCGGAUUGGAGUCUGAAACCCGACUCCAUGAAGGUGGAAUCGCUAGUAAUCGCGCAUCAGCAUGGCCGCGGUCCGAAUACGUUCCGGCCUU
RNAcentral lists this ribosomal RNA (433 nucleotides) under uncultured Spirochaetaceae bacterium. RNAcentral's name for it is "bacterial SSU rRNA". It matches the Rfam family "Bacterial small subunit ribosomal RNA", at positions 952 to 1374 of the family's 1533-position model. Lineage: Bacteria; Pseudomonadati; Spirochaetota; Spirochaetia; Spirochaetales; Spirochaetaceae. The record is from RNAcentral.